Molecule: ribosomal RNA, 162 nt
Filed under: Taraxacum nobile
Lineage: Eukaryota; Viridiplantae; Streptophyta; Magnoliopsida; Asterales; Asteraceae
Also listed under: 1 other name
Description: 5.8S ribosomal RNA
Rfam family: 5.8S ribosomal RNA
About the family: 5.8S ribosomal RNA (5.8S rRNA) is a component of the large subunit of the eukaryotic ribosome. It is transcribed by RNA polymerase I as part of the 45S precursor that also contains 18S and 28S rRNA.
Source: RNAcentral
AAACGACUCUCGGCAACGGAUAUCUCGGCUCACGCAUCGAUGAAGAACGUAGCAAAAUGCGAUACUUGGUGUGAAUUGCAGAAUCCCGUGAACCAUCGAGUUUUUGAACGCAAGUUGCGCCCGAAGCCAUCUGGUUGAGGGCACGCCUGCCUGGGCGUCACG